This 2553-nucleotide long non-coding RNA is filed under the name Podarcis lilfordi (Lilford's wall lizard). The record is from RNAcentral. Lineage: Eukaryota; Metazoa; Chordata; Lepidosauria; Squamata; Lacertidae.
UCACACUCUAUACAGAAGAAUUGGGAGGUACAAGCAUUUCACGGUUCCAUAUCCAUCACAGUCCACUCAAAUCAGCCAUCAGGAUUCCAAAGGUUCAUUCAGAAGCUGAGCCCUUUCUGGGCAAAACGAGAUGGCUUUAUCCAGGAGUUUUGGAAACAGGCAUUCGACUGUUUAUUAAAAAUGUCUGAAGAGUCAGAGGAGGGAAAUGAAAAUGACAUCAUCUACACUGGGGAGGAGAAGCUGGAGAGCCUUCCUGGCAUUCUGUUUGAAAUGGACAUGACUGGCCACAGCUACAAUGUCUACAAUGCUGUCUAUGCUGUGGCGCAUGCUUUGAACGCCAUCUACAAAUCCAUAUUCAAACAUAGGGGAUUGGAAGAAAGGGUCAGACUGACAUUUCACAGUGUGCAAUCAUGGCAGGUAAUUAGAAAGCAAUACUUUAAAAUUAUAGAGUUCUAGAAUUGUAGAGAUGGAAGGGGUCCUCAGGGUCAUCUUGCAGGGUAACCCUCAGGGUCCCUUCCAACUAUACAAAUAUAUGAUUCUAUGAUUGAUCGAUUGAUUGAUUGAUUGAUUGAUUGAUUGAUUGAUUGAUAUUCACAAGUGGCCACCUACAUAAACCAGAUGACAACUAUAAGGACAACUUUGGGAAGUUCACUAAAGUAAUCUUAGCACUAUGUUGUCUCGUUAUUCAGUGCUCUUUCAAUCGAGGUUCAUCAUUAUCUGAGGAGCAUCAUAUUCAAUAAUUAAAUGUGAUUGUUCUCUGGCAGCUCUGAUGAGAUAUUUAACUUUAGAUCACAUGGGAGGCGAUUGAAUUGAAAAUUUGCCAUCUUGAAAGGGUGGUGGCUUGAGUCUUUGUUCCCAGGCUCUGUGUGGGUAAAGGUGUGUAAAACGGUCUCCUGGAGGGAGAGCAAACAGCUGCAGGCAAAAUGGAGGCUGUAAGAAGAGAGAGAGAUCUUUGCUUAUACAGUGGUACCUCGUGUUAUGGACGGGAUCCGUUCCUGAGGCCUGUCCGUAACGCAAAAUGCCCACAACUCGAAGCGCUGCAUCUGCGCAGGUGCAUGACUCGAUUUAGUGCUUCUGCACAUGUACAAGUGGCGAAACCCAGAAGUAACCCAUUCUGGUAUUUCCGGGUUGCUGUGGGACGCAACGUGAAGCGGAUGCAACACAAGGUAUGAGUGUAGGUCAGUUUGGAAUUAUUUUUAAUUUCUUAUAAGAUUCUGAGUCUGUGGGGAUAGGCACCGGAUUGAGGCGUUCACAAAGUAAAGGAAGGACUGAACACUCAUUAAGAAGAAUACACACAGAGGCUUAAACCAGAAAGACUCUGGGAAGGGUGCGUAUAAUUGUCUCUCUGUGCCUGUCUGUGUGCAGCCCCCGGCCCAGGCCGUUUUAUUCACAAAAGAACUUUUUACAGAGUGUUCAUAAGAACCAAUCAGAUUUCCUCUGAGCAUUUAAACAAACCUCAAGUGGGGACAAAGUUAAACUAUAAACACUACUUAGGCAUACAUACUUUUGGGUAAAUGAAUGAAUACUACGAAGGAGCGAAUACAGCAACCCCGGAGGUCAUAAACAAUCAGUACACAUGAUAAGAAGGAUGGCCAGGAGGACAGUGACCAUUAUCACCUUAAUGUGAAACCUGUUUCCCGGCCCUAAGAUUAACAUCCUAAGAUUAAUAUAUAAGAAAAGCUACAUCGACGAAACUGCCCAUUAUCUUUGAGGACCCAGGAUGCCUGCCUAAGUGUGUACGUGACUUGUGAAGAGAGAGAAAUGGACAGUAGAGGAAAAAGGCAUGAAAAGGGCAUGAAUGUAGAAUAUUAUGGGAUUUAAUCAGAAAUUGUCAUCAAUAUAUCAAACCCAGUCAACACAAUGCGUUCAUCGUGUACACGAUGGCUUGAUGUAUAUUUUAUAAUUCCUCAUGGUAAUCCCAUCUGAUCCCUACACCGGAUAUGGAAUUAUUGGGAUGUAUAUUUCCCGUUGCUUCAAGCUGCACAAUAUAAUAUCUGCAAUGCACCUUACAUGGUUCUUUUAGGAAUUGGGCCAAAUGGUUCAUCUUCCCAACUUAAUUCUCUUUGUAGAGCUGAAUGAAUGAAGAGCACUAAUCCAAGUCCCUUUACAUUAUUCUGUGCAGGUGCUGCCCCUUUCUGUGUGCAGUGAGAACUGCCAUCCUGGCUACAGCAGGAAAAAGAAGGAAGGAGAGAAAUUUUGCUGUUAUGACUGUGCUCCAUGUCCAGAAGGAAUGAUAUCUGGCUGGAAGGGUAGGCAACAAUUGUGUAUUGUGAUAUCAUUCAUCUUCUGUAACAUAUCGUAUUUGCUUUGAGAAUUCACAUCCCUUGAACAUACAAACCAAACACAAGACCCCUCUUCCUUGUGUUAUUUCCAGGAGCUGGUAUUCAGAUGCAUAUUGCCUCAUUGAUAGCCCUAUUCUGUAUUAAUUUGUCCAAUCCUCUUUUAAAGCCAUCCAAGUUGAUGACCAGGUGCUCUUGGAGGAAACUGAUUUUCUACAUUGAUUUCAAUCAGAGUUUAUAUCAAAAAUAUCAAAAACCAUCAUCAACAGCAAAC